UGGGGAAUAUUGGACAAUGGGGGCAACCCUGAUCCAGCCAUGCCGCGUGUGUGAAGAAGGCCUUUUGGUUGUAAAGCACUUUAAGCAGUGAAGAAGACUCCAUGGUUAAUACCCAUGGACGAUGACAUUAGCUGCAGAAUAAGCACCGGCUAACUCUGUGCCAGCAGCCGCGGUAAUACAGAGGGUGCAAGCGUUAAUCGGAAUUACUGGGCGUAAAGCGAGCGUAGGUGGCGUGAUAAGGCAGAUGUGAAAGCCCCGGGCUUAACCUGGGAACGGCAUCUGAUACUGUUAGGCUAGAGUAGGUGAGAGGAAGGUAGAAUUCCAGGUGUAGCGGUGAAAUGCGUAGAGAUCUGGAGGAAUACCGAUGGCGAAGGCAGCCUUCUGGCAUCAUACUGACACUGAGGUUCGAAAGCGUGGGUAGCAAACA
This 427-nucleotide ribosomal RNA is filed under the name uncultured bacterium. RNAcentral describes it as "partial 16S ribosomal RNA". It matches the Rfam family "Bacterial small subunit ribosomal RNA", at positions 355 to 774 of the family's 1533-position model. The record is from RNAcentral.